CCAGACUCCUACGGGAGGCAGCAGUGGGGAAUAUUGCACAAUGGGGGAAACCCUGAUGCAGCGACGCCGCGUGAGUGAAGAAGUAUUUCGGUAUGUAAAGCUCUGUCAGCAGGGAAGAAGAAAGACGGUACCUGACCAAGAAGCCCCGGCUAACUACGUGCCAGCAGCCGCGGUAAUACGGAGGAUGCGAGCGUUAUCCGGAUUUAUUGGGUUUAAAGGGUGCGUAGGCGGACAGUCAAGUCAGCGGUAAAAAUGCGAUGCUCAACGCCGUACAGCCGUUGAAACUGGCAGUCUUGAGUGGGCGAGAAGUAUGCAGAAUGUGUGGUGUAGCGGUGUAAUGCAUAGAUAUCACGCAGAACUCCGAUUGCGAAGGCAGCAUACCGGCGCCCGACUGGCGCUGAGGCACGAAAGCGUGGGUAUCGAACAGGAUUAGAUACCCCCGUA
This 444-nucleotide ribosomal RNA is filed under the name uncultured bacterium. Its description in RNAcentral is "bacterial SSU rRNA". It matches the Rfam family "Bacterial small subunit ribosomal RNA", at positions 331 to 792 of the family's 1533-position model. The record is from RNAcentral.